RNAcentral lists this unclassified non-coding RNA (339 nucleotides) under soil metagenome. RNAcentral's name for it is "partial contains 5.8S ribosomal RNA, internal transcribed spacer 2, and large subunit ribosomal RNA". The stretch from base 1 to 120 matches the Rfam family "5.8S ribosomal RNA", at positions 35 to 154 of the family's 154-position model. The record is from RNAcentral.
GAUGAAGAACGCAGUGAAAUGCGAUACGUAGUGUGAAUUGCAGAAUUCAGUGAAUCAUCGAAUCUUUGAACGCACAUUGCACCUCUCGGUAUUCCGGGAGGUAUGCCUGUUCGAGCGUCAUUUGUACCCUCAAGCUCUGCUUGGUGUUGGGUGUUUGUUCCGCCUCUGUGUGUGAACUCGCCUCAAAACCAUUGGCAGCCGGCGUACUUGUUUCGGAGCGCAGCACAUUUUGCGAUCCAGAUCAACGUACAGCGGCAUCCAAGAAGCCUUAUUUAACGCUCUUGACCUCGGAUCAGGUAGGGAUACCCGCUGAACUUAAGCAUAUCAAUAAGCGGAGGA